AAUCAACGCUGGCGGCGUGCCUAACACAUGCAAGUCGUACGCGAAAGGGGCUUCGGCCCUGAGUAGAGUGGCAAACGGGUGAGUAACGCGUGGGUGACCUACCUUUGAGCGGGGGAUAACGUUCCGAAAGGGACGCUAAUACCGCAUGACAUCCUGCCUUUGGACAGGCGGAGAUCAAAGCCGGGGAUCGCAAGACCUGGCACUCGAAGAGGGGCCCGCGUCCGAUUAGCUAGUUGGUGAGGUAAUGGCUCACCAAGGCAACGAUCGGUAGCCGGCCUGAGAGGGCGGACGGCCACACUGGGACUGAGACACGGCCCAGACUCCUACGGGAGGCAGCAGUGGGGAAUUGUUCGCAAUGGGCGCAAGCCUGACGACGCAACGCCGCGUGGAGGACGAAGAUCUUCGGGUCGUAAACUCCUGUCGAGCGGGACGAACACCAUGCGGGUGAAUAAUCCGCGUGGCUGACGGUACCGCCAAAGGAAGCCCCGGCUAACUCCGUGCCAGCAGCCGCCG
Molecule: ribosomal RNA, 513 nt
Filed under: uncultured bacterium
Lineage: Bacteria
Description: bacterial SSU rRNA
Rfam family: Bacterial small subunit ribosomal RNA
Source: RNAcentral